RNAcentral lists this long non-coding RNA (345 nucleotides) under Physcomitrium patens. Its description in RNAcentral is "long non-coding RNA (PPAT_LNC013636)". The record is from RNAcentral. Lineage: Eukaryota; Viridiplantae; Streptophyta; Bryopsida; Funariales; Funariaceae.
UAUCUUGAUCCGACAAUUCAAUUUUUUUAAAAUUUAUAUUUAACAUAGAUUCUAUCUUUAAGCUUUAUUACAAAAAAAAUGAACUAUAAAUCUACUAUCAAUCUUUUGGUAUUUUAGAAAUCCUAACAGGUGCUCUAAAUCCUAAUCUACAAGCAUCUAAAAAUUAUUUUCCUUAUAUCUCAAAAACCUAAAAUCCAAAUGCCACAAAACUUAUAUACAAAGUUUUAUUACAUAAAAAUACACAUUUCUGAAAAUUUUUAGCCAAAAUCUUAUCAAAUUACAUAAGAAAUAGCUCAAAACACAACCACUAGUAAUUCGGAUUACUUACUACCCUUAGAUUUGCAA